This 332-nucleotide ribosomal RNA is filed under the name uncultured bacterium. Its description in RNAcentral is "partial 16S ribosomal RNA". It matches the Rfam family "Bacterial small subunit ribosomal RNA", at positions 338 to 667 of the family's 1533-position model. The record is from RNAcentral.
CCUACGUGAGGCAGCAGUGAGGAAUAUUGGUCAAUGGGCGGAAGCCUGAACCAGCCAAGUAGCGUGCAGGAUGACGGCCCUACGGGUUGUACACUGCUUUUAUACGGGAAUAACGCGCCUUACGUGUAGGGCUUUGCAUGUACCGUAUGAAUAAGGACAGGCUAAUUCCGUGCCAGCAGCCGCGGUAAUACGGAAGGUCCGGGCGUUAUCCGGAUUUAUUGGGUUUAAAGGGAGCGUAGGCCGCAUGUCAAGCGUGCUGUUAAAUGUCCGGGCUCAACCCGGGCCUUGUAGCGCGAACGGGCGUUCUUGAGUCAGCGGAAAGCAUGCGGAAU